This 1477-nucleotide ribosomal RNA is filed under the name metagenome. RNAcentral describes it as "bacterial SSU rRNA". It matches the Rfam family "Bacterial small subunit ribosomal RNA". The record is from RNAcentral.
AGAGUUUGAUCCUGGCUCAGGAUGAACGCUAGCGGCAGGCCUAACACAUGCAAGUCGAACGGGAUCGGUAGCAAUACCAUGAGAGUGGCGCACGGGUGAGUAACGCGUAUGCAACCUACCUAUUGCAAGGGGAUAGCCCGGAGAAAUUCGGAUUAAUACCCUAUAGUAAUUUCGGAAGGCAUCUUCUGAUAUUUAAAGUACCAACGGCAAUAGAUGGGCAUGCGUGCCAUUAGCUAGUUGGUGAGGUAACGGCUCACCAAGGCGAUGAUGGCUAGGGGGUCUUAAAGGAUGAUCCCCCACACUGGUACUGAGACACGGACCAGACUCCUACGGGAGGCAGCAGUGAGGAAUAUUGGGCAAUGGACGCAAGUCUGACCCAGCCAUGCCGCGUGCAGGAUGACGGCCUUAUGGGUUGUAAACUGCUUUUUUACGGGAAGAAACGCCCUACGUGUAGGGACUUGACUGUACUGUAAGAAUAAGCAUCGGCUAACUCCGUGCCAGCAGCCGCGGUAAUACGGAGGAUGCAGGCGUUAUCCGGAUUUAUUAGGUUUAAAGGGUGCGUAGGCGGAAUAUUAAGUCAGUGGUGAAAUCCUGCAGCUCAACUGCAGAACUGCCAUUGAUACUGAUGUUCUUGAGUUCAGUUGAGGUAGGCGGAAUGUGUAAUGUAGCGGUGAAAUGCAUAGAUAUUACACAGAACACCCAUUGCGAAGGCAGCUUACUAGACUGACACUGACGCUGAGGCACGAAAGCGUGGGGAUCAAACAGGAUUAGAUACCCUGGUAGUCCACGCCGUAAACGAUGAUCACUCGUUGUUGGCGAUACACAGUCAGCGACUGGGCGAAAGCAUUAAGUGAUCCACCUGGGGAGUACGGCGGCAACGCUGAAACUCAAAGGAAUUGACGGGGGCCCGCACAAGCGGAGGAACAUGUGGUUUAAUUCGAUGAUACGCGAGGAACCUUACCUGGGCUUGAAUGUCUUACAUCCGCAAGGAGAUGCCUGUCGAAAGAUGGGUGAGAGAGAAUAAGGUGCUGCAUGGCUGUCGUCAGCUCGUGCCGUGAGGUGUCGGGUUAAGUCCCAUAACGAGCGCAACCCUUAUCAUUAGUUGCCAGCGGGUAAUGCCGGGGACUCUAAUGAGACUGCCAGCGUAAGCUGUGAGGAAGGUGGGGAUGACGUCAAGUCAGCACGGCCCUUACGUCCAGGGCUACACACGUGUUACAAUGGCCGGUACAAAGGGCAGCUACCUGGUGACAGGAUGCUAAUCUCAAAAGCCGGUCUUAGUUCGGAUCGGAGUCUGCAACUCGACUCCGUGAAGUUGGAUUCGCUAGUAAUCGUACAUCAGCAAUGGUACGGUGAAUACGUUCCCGGGCCUUGUACACACCGCCCGUCAAGCCAUGGGAGCCGGGGGUACCUAAAGUCCGUAACCGCAAGGAGCGGCCUAGGGUAAAACUGGUGACUGGGGCUAAGUCGUUUCAAGGUA